This is a long non-coding RNA of Xiphophorus hellerii (green swordtail), 116 nucleotides long. RefSeq lists it as uncharacterized. The record is from RefSeq and is a predicted model, not a curated record. The transcript is spliced from 3 exons. Lineage: Eukaryota; Metazoa; Chordata; Actinopteri; Cyprinodontiformes; Poeciliidae.
AAUCUUCAGUUAAAUUAACAUUAAGGACUUAUCAACUUAAAGCAAGCUCCUAUAUCCUGCUGAAAAGUUACUUAAAGUUUGUUUUAUCUUAUUUCAAGAGUACCAAGAUAUUUUCA